UGCAGAGAAGAUAUUCAAGUUUUCUCAUGAGUUCACUUACUACAGAGAAAGAUGGUUCCUAUUUUUUACGUGCUAAGAAUGCAAAGCUAAAGACUAUCUUUUAAAUAAUGAAAAUGAUCAAUCUUAUAAAUUGAAUUAUCACAUAAUUUAUACUAUAAUGUUCAUCUAUUGUAGGUGUAAACAUCUUAAGGGCUUUUAUCCAAGGUAGAUGAGGCCAGAAGCUAUAAAGACUUUUAUGGAAGACAAAGUUUACUCAGAGUGUUAAAGAUUGAAUUUGUGAUCUGCAUUCCAUUCAUGCGGGACAUCCUUUGCCUAAUGGAUGAAAGGUGAUCCCUCCCCCUGCUGCUCCUCUACCAUAUUAUGAUGCCGCAGGCAACCCUCACUAGCCCUAUGCUCUUGGACUUCCUACCUACUGACAUCACCUCAACUCCUCAGCUCCUGGUGAGACCUAUUCUACUCUACUUCUGUUCACAGAAAAAGUGGCCGUGGUGGCAUGGGUGGAGGUUAUGCACAAGCCCCAAAACAUGGACUUCCAUUCACCAGGGCCAACUUGGCUGUAGACACCGCUGAGUAACCAGU
RNAcentral lists this long non-coding RNA (579 nucleotides) under Heterocephalus glaber (naked mole-rat). RNAcentral describes it as "lncRNA (ENSHGLG00000041297.1)". The record is from RNAcentral. Lineage: Eukaryota; Metazoa; Chordata; Mammalia; Rodentia; Bathyergidae.